RNAcentral lists this ribosomal RNA (496 nucleotides) under uncultured bacterium. RNAcentral describes it as "partial 16S ribosomal RNA". It matches the Rfam family "Bacterial small subunit ribosomal RNA", at positions 29 to 507 of the family's 1533-position model. The record is from RNAcentral.
AUGAACGCUGGCGGCGUGCCUAAUACAUGCAAGUCGAGCGAACGGACGAGAAGCUUGCUUCUCUGAUGUUAGCGGCGGACGGGUGAGUAACACGUGGAUAACCUACCUAUAAGACUGGGAUAACUUCGGGAAACCGGAGCUAAUACCGGAUAAUAUUUUGAACCGCAUGGUUCAAAAGUGAAAGACGGUCUUGCUGUCACUUAUAGAUGGAUCCGCGCUGCAUUAGCUAGUUGGUAAGGUAACGGCUCACCAAGGCAACGAUGCAUAGCCGACCUGAGAGGGUGAUCGGCCACACUGGAACUGAGACACGGUCCAGACUCCUACGGGAGGCAGCAGUAGGGAAUCUUCCGCAAUGGGCGAAAGCCUGACGGAGCAACGCCGCGUGAGUGAUGAAGGUCUUCGGAUCGUAAAACUCUGUUAUUAGGGAAGAACAUAUGUGUAAGUAACUGUGCACAUCUUGACGGUACCUAAUCAGAAAGCCACGGCUAACUACGUG